GGUGAAAUUCUUGGAUCGUCGCAAGACGGACAGAAGCGAAAGCAUUUGCCAAAAACGUUUUCAUUGAUCAAGAACGAAAGUUAGAGGUUCGAAGGCGAUCAGAUACCGCCCUAGUUCUAACCAUAAACGAUGCCAGCUAGCGAUCCGCCGACGUUCCUCCGAUGACUCGGCGGGCAGCUUCCGGGAAACCAAAGCUUUUGGGUUCCGGGGGAAGUAUGGUUGCAAAGCUGAAACUUAAAGGAAUUGACGGAAGGGCACCACCAGGAGUGGAGCCUGCGGCUUAAUUUGACUCAACACGGGAAACCUCACCAGGCCCGGACACCGGAAGGAUUGACAGAUUGAGAGCUCUUUCUUGAUUCGGUGGGUGGUGGUGCAUGGCCGUUCUUAGUUGGUGGAGCGAUUUGUCUGGUUAAUUCCGAUAACGAACGAGACUCUGGCCUGCUAACUAGGCGUAUUUCCGACAUCUCGAAGGCCCGCCGGCUCGGCGCGUUCGCGCGCCUUGUCGCGCGCGGUUUUUACUGUCGGCGUACAAACAAUUCUUCUUAGAGGGACAGGCGGCUUCUAGCCGCACGAGAUAGAGCAAUAACAGGUCUGUGAUGCCCUUAGAUGUUCUGGGCCGCACGCGCGCUACACUGAAGGAAUCAGCGUGUCCUCCCUGGCCGAGAGGCCCGGGUAACCCGCUGAACCUCCUUCGUGCUAGGGAUUGGGGCUUGCAAUUGUUCCCCAUGAACGAGGAAUUCCCAGUAAGCGCGAGUCAUAAGCUCGCGUUGAUUACGUCCCUGCCCUUUGUACACACCGCCCGUCGCUACUACCGAUUGAAUGAUUUAGUGAGGUCUUCGGACCGGCACGCGGUGGCGUUUCGACGUCGCCGAUGCUGCUGGAAAGAUGACCAAACUUGAUCAUUU
This 905-nucleotide ribosomal RNA is filed under the name Scarelus flavicollis. RNAcentral's name for it is "SSU rRNA". It matches the Rfam family "Eukaryotic small subunit ribosomal RNA", at positions 910 to 1774 of the family's 1831-position model. The record is from RNAcentral. Lineage: Eukaryota; Metazoa; Arthropoda; Insecta; Coleoptera; Lycidae.